This 281-nucleotide ribosomal RNA is filed under the name uncultured bacterium. RNAcentral describes it as "partial 16S ribosomal RNA". It matches the Rfam family "Bacterial small subunit ribosomal RNA", at positions 123 to 406 of the family's 1533-position model. The record is from RNAcentral.
AAUCUGCCUUGUUGUGGGGGAUAACGUAGGGAAACUUACGCUAAUACCGCAUAAGACCGUAAGGUGAAAGCGGGGGAUCGUAAGACCUCGCGCGACAAGAUGAGCCGAUGUCGGAUUAGCUAGUUGGUGAGGUAAUGGCUCACCAAGGCGACGAUCCGUAGCUGGUCUGAGAGGAUGAUCAGCCACACUGGAACUGAGACACGGUCCAGACUCCUACGGGAGGCAGCAGUGGGGAAUAUUGGACAAUGGGCGCAAGCCUGAUCCAGCCAUGCCGCGUGGGU